AUUGGAAACGCAUGCUUCAAGCUAAUUCAAGAAGCUGCCCAAAGACGUGGAAAAGAUGUCCACAUUGUAGACAUGUACGUUGUUCCAACAUGGAAGUCCAAAAUGGGGGAGCCAGAGGCCGCUCUUCUCCGUGACCUGUCAAAAGACAUAAUCAUCCCUGCCUGGAGCCAACAGCAAGGAAACGCCGA
Fundulus heteroclitus (mummichog) is the source of this 188-nucleotide long non-coding RNA. RefSeq lists it as uncharacterized. The transcript has 3 exons. Lineage: Eukaryota; Metazoa; Chordata; Actinopteri; Cyprinodontiformes; Fundulidae. The record is from RefSeq and is a predicted model, not a curated record.